RNAcentral lists this long non-coding RNA (2333 nucleotides) under Homo sapiens (human). Its description in RNAcentral is "non-protein coding lnc-TANK-4:1". The record is from RNAcentral. Lineage: Eukaryota; Metazoa; Chordata; Mammalia; Primates; Hominidae.
GUCAGACUUGCUGGCCUCAUAUAAGGAAUAGAACGCUAGUAUCUUACUUGUAUCUCAGAAACUAUUAAAAGCUUUGCCCUAAGCGCACCCAAGGCCUUUUCCAGAUCAUGAGUCAAAUUUCCCCAGCUUUUGAUUAUGGUUUAAACUAUACUGGCAAUUCCACCCUAGGACUCUCGAGUAUGAUUUGGAAUUGUGGAAGUGAUAAUCAUAUCACAAUCUUUGUGAUAAUCAUAGCAUCACAUUACUUUAGAGCACCAAGAGACUUACAGAAUCAUGCUCUCUGAUCAGAGCAUUUUACGAAAGGGAAAACUGAACUAAGCCAAAAACUUAGUUUGGAGGGGACACCCUAACCAGCCUCAAGAUCACUGAAGCCCUGUACAAGGUUUUUCUCCCACACUGGAAUGUCACUGCUGGUGUCCUAGGUAGGUCUCCAGAGAAAGAACUCAUUUCAACCUUAAUUAAAGCAUGCAAUUAUUCAAUUCUAUAUAUGUCUGCAUAGAACGAGAGAUAGACAUAGCUAUAGGUAGAAAAUCAAUAUCAUAAACUUCAUUGAUCUUGUUUUUAAUGAAGAGAAGAAUGAAGGAGAAAACAAAAAGUGAUCCCAUAAUCUCAGAGCCCUGAUAACUCCUGUUGAUACUUAAAUCUUUAUAUUUUUAAUACCUUUAUCUCUUCUGUUUUAAUAAUAUAAAUGUAGUCACCAUUUCUUAACCAGUUACUAUGCACCAGGUCUUGUUCUGGGUGAUAUAUGUAUUUAAACUUCAGAAUAACCUCAUGACAUAGGUAUGAUUAGUCUCAUUUUACAGAGGAAGUGCUGGAAGCUUCAGGAAGUUUGCUCAAAAGGGAGACUAGGCCAAAGCCUGGGUAUGGCUGGGUCAGUCCUCAAACGCAAGCCAGUGAGGUUGGAGCUGUUUCUCUGGUCCCACACUGCAUCUCCAUCUUCCCUUUGGGAAAUAAAACUCCAGUUUCCUUCCUCAUCCAAGACAGAUACUUAAACCCUAUAUUUAUGAGGACAGCUAAUAAUAUCCCAAUUACAAUCACUGUAUUUAGAUAAAGAUGAAAUAGCAUCAUUAAUAUUUAAAUAAUAAACUUGAUUACAGUUUUAAAUCAUUUAAGAUGAUUUUAUUUUUCAAUAAGGCAUUUGAGGAUCUCCCUGAGCAAGGCCUGGGGCAGGGAACUGUGCCUCUCCUAUUGUCAGUUGAAGAUCUUAACCUCACAGGAAAAGCAAGCACCUCAGUGGUUUUUCUUGUCCAUUGCCUGCCCAGAAUGCCUUAUCCAAAGCAGAACAGAUUUGUAGAUUUGUAGGGGAAGGUUGGUUGCACCAGGUGCAGCAUCGUGGCUCCUUUUGGAAGGAACAGGCAGAGCUGCGAGGAGACUCUGCUGUGUUCUUCCACAGAGGUGGCGCAGCUGAAUCACCAGGGCUUGGCCCAGAAAUGUGACUGGGAUUCCAAGCACAGCCUCUUUCAGGAAAGGGACACAGAGGCAAGCAGAAAUGUUCGUGCUCCUUCAGAUAAUUCAUUCCUGGCUCCAUUCACCCUGCCCCUGCUCCACCCCCUGGCUCCCAAGUCAAGGCAAGAUUUCUUGUCAGGGUCUUUCGCAGCCAAAUCAUAUAUAUGACUUAAAGAGGUUUGUUGGCCCUGGCAGUUCCUGGAAUCUUUCCAGAAAUAUAGCCAGAGGGCCAGAGUGGUGCUGCCAGUCAUCCUCUUGGGAUCCAAGCUCUGAGAGAGCCAGGAGAUGGCUUUCCAGAGCUCCACCCUGCCAGCUCUGAUUCACAUCUGUGUUCUCCUCUCUGGGGAAACUCGCAGGGUGGAGUCCAGAGGAGGGAAGGAAAUCUUUGGGUCUGCUCUUUAUCCAUUGUCCCAUCAUUCUGGCGACUGUCAGUCUUUAUUUUUUUAAACGUUAAACAUAUAAACAGCAUUGCUUCAUUUUUCUUUAUAGGCGAUAAUGCUCCAUUAUGAAGAAAAAAAACUUGUUUCUUGCUUCCAAUGGAAACGAGAUGUUUACUUUUUACUUCAAACUGAGAGAUUUCAGAAUAUGCUAAGUGAGUUCUGCCUUUCUGACUUAAGUUAUCCUGUUUUUCAUUUUCCUAUUUUCCCACUGACAGAGAGUGCAAUUAUUGCUACCCUUUUUGACUAGCUAGCUGACUCUUUCUCCUAAAAACGUGAAUUAUAACUAGAAAAGGCUACUUGGCGGGCCUGUCUAUGGUGAGCUCUUGCCUGUGAGAGUUAACUAGAAUGCUCCUAGUAAUAUUUCGUUGUAAUUUUUCUGUUGUCGUGUUCUCAGAAGCCCCAAUCCAUCAGUCUAUUCAAUUGCCUCCACUGGACAACACAGCAAAA